GUCGAACGGACUUAAGGGGCUUGCUUCUUAAGUUAGUGGCGCACGGGUGAGUAAUAUAUAGCUAACCUGCCCUUUAGUGGGGGACAACAGUUGGAAACGACUGCUAAUACCCUAUACUCCUUCUUACUAUAAGGUAAGUUGGGAAAGAUUUAUCGCUAAAGGAUGGGGCUUUAUUGUAUCAGCUAGUUGGUGGGGUAAUGGCCUACCAAGGCUAUGACGCAUACCUGGUCUGAGAGGAUGAUCAGGCACACUGGAACUGAGACACGGUCCAGACUCCUACGGGAGGCAGCAGUGGGGAAUAUUGCACAAUGGAGGAAACUCUGAUGCAGCAACGCCGCGUGGAGGAUGACGCAUUUCGGUGUGUAAACUCCUUUUAUAGGGGAAGAUAAUGACGGUACCCUAUGAAUAAGCACCGGCUAACUCCGUGCCAGCAGCCGCGGUAAUACGGAGGGUGCAAGCGUUACUCGGAAUCACUGGGCGUAAAGGAUGCGUAGGCUGGAAAUCAAGUCGAGAGUGAAAUCCAACGGCUCAACCGUUGAACUGCUCUCGAAACUGGUUACCUAGAAUAUGGGAGAGGUAGAUGGAAUUAGUGGUGUAGGGGUAAAAUCCGUAGAUAUCACUAGGAAUACCGAUUGCGAAGGCGAUCUACUGGAACAUUAU
Molecule: ribosomal RNA, 660 nt
Filed under: uncultured bacterium
Lineage: Bacteria
Description: bacterial SSU rRNA
Rfam family: Bacterial small subunit ribosomal RNA
Source: RNAcentral